Molecule: ribosomal RNA, 120 nt
Filed under: Urocitellus parryii (Arctic ground squirrel)
Lineage: Eukaryota; Metazoa; Chordata; Mammalia; Rodentia; Sciuridae
Source: RNAcentral
UAUGGUUAUACCAUCCAUCCUGAAUGUGUCUAAUCUCAUUUGAUCUCAAAAGCUAAGCAGGGUCAGACCUGAUUAGUACUUGGAUGGGAAAAAAAAAUCAAAGCACAGUGACUGUCAUAU